RNAcentral lists this unclassified non-coding RNA (1262 nucleotides) under Hevea brasiliensis (rubber tree). Lineage: Eukaryota; Viridiplantae; Streptophyta; Magnoliopsida; Malpighiales; Euphorbiaceae. The record is from RNAcentral.
UAUCAUUCCAAAUAGAAUAGUUAAGCCUUUCGAUACCUCAGUUGUAUGCUCCAACUUCCUCUGUGGUCAUGGCUACAACUCUGCCAUGGCGGCAUCCACCGCCUCCGUUGCGCCUGCACAGGCGCCCAAUCCCCUUUCAUAACGCAGUCACUGUGCGUGCCUUCCAGCGCAGCGACUUCGACAGGUUCGCUAGGGAUGCCUGGCGCACUGCUAACGACGGCUUUGAGCAGCUGAUAUUUGAGACCAAGAAGACCGCAGAGCGUAUUGACCGCAGAUACUCCGUCUCCCGCCGUCUUAAUUCUGUCGCCCAAUCUGCCGCUGACCGCUUCCGUGAGAUUGAUAGAGAGCUGGAGAUUAGUGUUCGGUGGCGCACAUUUUCCAUGGAUUUUGUUAGAAAUUGGCCUAGGUACAGGAGGCAGCUUAAUAAUUUUCUGGAUACACCAUUGGGAAGAAGUUUUGCUACUAUUUUCUUCCUCUGGUUUGCAUUAUCUGGGUGGCUGUUUCGCUCCUUGAUAUUUGCUACAUGGGUUCUGCCAUUUGCUGCACCUCUUCUCAUUGGGACCGUGGCAAAUAAUCUUGUUAUUAAGGGGGCUUGUCCAGCAUGUAAGAGGCAGUUUGUUGGUUACAAAAACCAAGUAAUUCGAUGUGCUAGCUGUGGUAACAUUGUGUGGCAGCCAGAAGGAGACUUCUUUUCAAGAGGUGGUAGAGGUAGAGGGACCUCUCCAUCGAAAUCUGAUGGUGAUAUAAUUGAUGUUGAGUUUGAGGAGAAAUAACCCUAGAUGCUUGGUUGAAAGUGAUGGUUCACUUCAUGCACACUCUGCAUGGCAUGCCAAUACUAAAUUAUAUUUUUUGUUGGGUUUGGGGGGUGGGGGGGUGUGGUGGUGGGGUUUGAAUAGCGUUUAUUCCAUGCAUGUGAUGUUUAGACCUAAAGCUUCGUUGUUCAAGUUAAUUUUCUCAUCUUCCAAGUGCUCCUCUAGGAAUAGUUGAAUUAUUUCAGCUUGUACACUAUCUUUAUUCCACCCGGUUGAGAGAGACUUUGGAAAUGUACAAUACCCUUGUUCAUAGAUCAUUACAGAAUAAUCUUUUUCUCACGGUACAAUGUGUGGCAAAAAUUAGCUAGGAGCAAUUUUUCGUGAUCAACAUGCUGUGUCUCGAGGGAGUAAACCAUGGACGUUCAUUCAUUGUAUGCUAGUAUCUGUAUGACAUUAAGGUCCAUUUAUUUUUUGGGUUCCUCUAAAUGAUAUACUUAUUUUACUUUGAGA